This 404-nucleotide ribosomal RNA is filed under the name uncultured bacterium. RNAcentral describes it as "bacterial SSU rRNA". It matches the Rfam family "Bacterial small subunit ribosomal RNA", at positions 355 to 776 of the family's 1533-position model. The record is from RNAcentral.
UGGGGAAUAUUGGACAAUGGGCGAAAGCCUGAUCCAGCCAUGCCGCGUGAGUGAUGAAGGUCUUCGGAUUGUAAAGCUCUUUUGGCGGGGACGAUAAUGACGGUACCCGCAGAAUAAGCCCCGGCUAACUUCGUGCCAGCAGCCGCGGUAAUACGAAGGGGGCUAGCGUUGCUCGGAAUCACUGGGCGUAAAGCGCACGUAGGCGGGCUUUUAAGUCGGAGGUGAAAUCCCAGGGCUCAACCCUGGAACGGCCUUCGAUACUGGAAGUCUUGAGUCCGGAAGAGGUAAGUGGAACUCCGAGUGUAGAGGUGAAAUUCGUAGAUAUUCGGAAGAACACCAGUGGCGAAGGCGGCUUACUGGUCCGGUACUGACGCUGAGGUGCGAAAGCGUGGGGAGCAAACAGG